RNAcentral lists this transfer RNA (76 nucleotides) under Coriobacteriia bacterium. RNAcentral's name for it is "tRNA-Thr". It matches the Rfam family "tRNA". Rfam says of the family: Transfer RNA (tRNA) molecules are approximately 80 nucleotides in length. Their secondary structure includes four short double-helical elements and three loops (D, anti-codon, and T loops). Further hydrogen bonds mediate the characteristic L-shaped molecular structure. tRNAs have two regions of fundamental functional importance: the anti-codon, which is responsible for specific mRNA codon recognition, and the 3' end, to which the tRNAs corresponding amino acid is attached (by aminoacyl-tRNA synthetases). tRNAs cope with the degeneracy of the genetic code in two manners: having more than one tRNA (with a specific anti-codon) for a particular amino acid; and 'wobble' base-pairing, i.e. permitting non-standard base-pairing at the 3rd anti-codon position. Lineage: Bacteria; Bacillati; Actinomycetota; Coriobacteriia. The record is from RNAcentral.
GCCAACUUGGCUCAGUUGGUAGAGCAACGCACUCGUAAUGCGUAGGUCACCGGUUCGAUCCCGGUAGUUGGCUCCA